AGGAUGUAUAAAUAGCGUAGCAUGAUCGGAGAUUUAUCUCUGCAAAUGCAAGAUUCUUAGAGAAGGAAAUUAGUGUGAUUUCGGCAAGUUCCGCGUCAAAGUUAUCGGACUUCUAACUACAUUAGAAAUGUGAAGAUACUGUGAAUAUACAAAAAUAAAAAGCCAAGAAGAAAAAUGGAAAAAAAGGAAAAUAUGUAUAAAAAAGGUUUGUAAAGUGUGUAUAAUUCCAGAUGAACACUCCCGUGGCGGUUGUAUUUUUUGUACACAUAAGAAUCGCGAUGUAAAUAGAUAUCAUUGAAUGUUUUGGGUGAACAGAAUCCAGGGUUUUUCUCUUUUUUUUAUGAUAAUGAACAUGUUAUUUGUAAUGUUCACACUGAUUUUUUUUUUAUAGAUCUGUUUGUUGUUUUUGAUCAUACAAUCCAAAUGCAAGAUUUGUAUUCUACAGACACAUGCACGCGCGCACACACUCACAUCCCCCCCACCCCCCUACACCCUACCCCCCACAUACACCCCUACACCCUACCCCCCCCCACACAAAUCUACAUAUAUAUACCUAUAGAUAUGUAGAUGUAUAUGAAUAUAUGUAUCUUUAUUUAUGUUAUAUAUAUUUAAAUAUUUCUGUUGAAAUACAGAUUUCUUUGGUACAAAAUGCCUUUGUAUAAAGUAGGUUGUAGAAAUCCAUUUAUUGUAAUUGUUGUUAUUAUUAAUGGCAUUAUUUUUAUUUGAGAAUUAUUUUUAUGAUUUACAUAAUGGUGAUGAUUUUGCUUAUAGUUAUGAUUUUUAUUAUGAAUAUUAAUUAUUAUUGUAAUGAAAAUGUAUUUAUGUUAUUAUUAUUUUUUUUAUAAUUACUAUUUAUUGUUGGUAAUAUUUUGAUAAUUUUUUAUAUUGCAGUUAUUUUAAUUACCAUAAUAAUUAGUGCCUAUUUUUGCCAGUUGACGCAUUAGGUUUUAUUCCUAGUAUCAUGUGUAUUUCACUUUGUGAAUAAUUCAGGUAGCAACCAUACAUGCCAUAUAUGCAUACAUACAUCAUUAUAUGCAUAGCUGUUUAAAAGAUACCUCUAGUAAAACACUUACAUGAAUACAUAUGGAUAUACACACAUAUACCUAACAUGACUGCAUGCAUGCAUAUACACAAAAUACAGACAGACAUAUUUUUUGAAGGAGAAAAAAAAAUGGAAUUAGUGUUUUCCCACACGAGUGCAGCUUAGAGCUAUGCUUAGAUUUAUUACAAAAAAAAAGGAAAAGAAAAAAAAAACACAGAGAUAUUUGUAGAAUUUAUUUAUUGAUUUCUUUUUAAGGGAUAUAUGGGGAAGGUGUCUGGAAGUGUGCUUGCGAAACCUUGAAAUGAAUGUGCUCAGGGGCACGUUUGCAAUGGUGUGAAUGACAAGAUUUGCUUGAAAGUGUAAACACGAAAAUUUGUAGUGGAAGUGUGCAUGAUGGAAUUUUUAGUUUGGGAAAAGAAAAUUAUGAUUAAUUUGAUUUUUUGUUGUUGUCAGGGCUGUUGUGAUUAUUAUCUUUGUUAUCACUAUUAUUAUUAUUUAUUAUUAUUAUUAUUAUUAUUAUUAUUAUUAUUAUUAUUAUUAUAUUAGUGUUACUAUUAUCACCGUCACUGUUACCAUCAUCAUAAUCAUGAUCAUAAUGAUUUUUAUCAUUAUUAUCGUAAUUUUCAUCUGUAUCAUUAUUAUUAUUAGUAGUAAUGAUGAUAUUGCAAACAUCCUUUUCACCUUCAUUACUAUUAUCAUUAUUAUUAUAUCUACUGCCAUUGUUGUUAUGAUUAUUGCUAUAAAUGUCAUUAUUAUUAUCAUUAUUGUUGCUGUCAUUAUUUUGGCAACUGUUUCAUGCAAAAGAGCUUUAAGAAAAAGGCAAAAAAUAAAAUAGAUAAAUGUU
Penaeus indicus is the source of this 1886-nucleotide long non-coding RNA. RefSeq lists it as uncharacterized. Lineage: Eukaryota; Metazoa; Arthropoda; Malacostraca; Decapoda; Penaeidae. The transcript is spliced from 3 exons. The record is from RefSeq and is a predicted model, not a curated record.